GAUGAAGAACGCAGCGAAUGCGAUAAGUAAUGUGAAUUGCAGAAUUCAGUGAAUCAUCGAAUCUUUGAACGCACAUUGCGCCCGCCAGCACUCUGGCGGGCAUGCCUGUUCGAGCGUCAUUUCAACCAUCAAGCCCCCAGGGGCUUGUGCUGGGGCCCUGCGGCUGCCCGCAGGCCCUGAAAACCAGUGGCGGGCUCGCUAGUCACACCGAGCGCAGUAGCACAUCUCGCUCAGGGCGUGCGGCGGGCUCCUGCCGUGAAACCCCCCACUGUAACCCCAAAGGUUGACCUCGGAUCAGGUAGGAAUACCCGCUGAACUUAAGCAUAUCAAUAAGCGGAGGA
RNAcentral lists this unclassified non-coding RNA (341 nucleotides) under soil metagenome. Its description in RNAcentral is "partial contains 5.8S ribosomal RNA, internal transcribed spacer 2, and large subunit ribosomal RNA". The stretch from base 1 to 119 matches the Rfam family "5.8S ribosomal RNA", at positions 35 to 154 of the family's 154-position model. The record is from RNAcentral.